UACCCGCUGAGUUUAAGCACAUCAAUAAGCGGAGGAAAAGAAACU
Molecule: ribosomal RNA, 45 nt
Filed under: Coffea ambongensis
Lineage: Eukaryota; Viridiplantae; Streptophyta; Magnoliopsida; Gentianales; Rubiaceae
Description: partial 26S ribosomal RNA
Source: RNAcentral